Molecule: long non-coding RNA, 1923 nt
Organism: Xiphophorus couchianus (Monterrey platyfish)
Lineage: Eukaryota; Metazoa; Chordata; Actinopteri; Cyprinodontiformes; Poeciliidae
Exons: 2
Source: RefSeq, a predicted model, not a curated record
UGUUUUGCUGAGGCUUUCAUCCCUAAAUAAACCAGUGGAAGCCCAGCUGCUGUUCGUCUGUGCUCAGCGUGUUUGUCUCUCGCCUCACUGGAGCGGACGGCGCGUCGACGGGCCGCGUGUUUACCCUCCACCGCAGAUCGUGGCCGCAGCGAUGGGCCGGCUGUGUUUGAAGCCGGUCCUGGACGGAGACGGGAAUGAGAGCAUGAGCUUGUUGGUGCCGAGGUCGAUGGAUCAGAGGGGGAGCAGAUGGAGGCUGCUGCUACAACCCCCCUCUGUCCCUUUUCAUCGUGGCAAAGGUCGGAAUCAGGUUGGGAAUGGCUGCCGACCCCGAGCAGGAGGCAUUCCAGCAUUCCUCUGCGGUCAAAAUCAGAGCAAACGAAGCCCCUCCCUGGAGAUCAAGGCGCCGCCAGAUGUCAGAGGAAGCUGCGGUUUGUGAAAAGCUGAGCACCUGCUUCCACGCAGAGGAAAUACAGUACAGUAGCUUGUGAGAAGUGCAAACCCAUCUGCUUCAUUUCUGGGAACAGUUUGUUUGUGUUCUCCUUUAAAAUGUAAUUCAGUUUAAACUCAUGUGUGCAAACUAAAAAGGAAGUCUGGUUAAUUAGCAUGAUGCAGAUCUCGGCAGAAAUCAGGGCGUAGCGGAAAUAAAACCCAACACUUGAACUGUCCAGGUGUAAAACAGGGCAGAGUUGCUUGAACUUCCUACGUUUGACAUAAUGUAGCAGUAAAUGUUGAUCUGAAUCUGGCAGCACAUUAUCAGCCCAUCUGUCUCUUGAUGUCUGUGUUUGACAGUCGCUCCGCUUCUUGUGGAAACCUCCAGGCCAGAACAUUAUGGAGCCCCUAAUGGACCUUUCUAAUGGGUUUCAGAAAGAGAAAAUAUAAAACAUAUCACUGCAACGUAGCCCCGUAUGUUUCAGCUUCGGUUCAGUUUUAACAAGAAUCUUCAUAAUCUGAAGCUUUCAGUUAUCACUGAGCGUUUUCCCUCCUGGUUUCUUCUGUUCGAUCUUUAGUGGGUUUGACUGAUAUGAGAUGUUUGGGUUUCCUGUUCCGGAUGUAAACAUGAUGAUGCUCAGAACGCUGGCAGCUGCCUUUCAGCUUAUCACCAACAGCGAUCUAUGCAGAACAGACACCUUUGAGUCACGUAGACAUCAGGAAACGCUUAAAAACGGAAGCAGAUCGAUGAUAAAUGAAGUUAAUAUCACUUAAAUUAUUAACUUCUGCCCUUUCUGUCAUAAACUUCAACAUUUUAUUAGAGAACCUUAGAGCUUGAGAUGUUGCUUUUGUGAUAACCGUUUGAAAGCAACAAGGUGAAUAUUUAGAUUUCCUGAUCAGAUAUGACUUUAAAUACCAGUGCUCUUGAUGUUUAAGGUAAAGUUAUGUAGCACAUUUUCAGGAACAAGGAAGUUCAAAGUGCUUUGCAUCAUAAAACACAAGAAUACAAGAAUUGAUUUCUUGGGCAGAACUGUGAAGAUACAGUUGCAGUAAUCGAUGCGCCUAAAGAUGAACACAUGGAUGAGUUUCUAGAUCUUGUUGAGACAUUAAUCCUCUCAUCCUGGAAAUGGCCUUCAGGUGACAGAAGGCCGACUUUGCAACUGUCUUUAUGUGGCUCUGAGGGUUCAGGUCAGAGUCCAUCACUACUCUUCUCUCUUAUGAAAUGCUUUCCAUUUUCUGUUUAUUUUAUCUGUUAAAUGAUACAGAAAUCACUCCAUUCAGUUAAAAUUUGUACAUUUCCUUUGACUUUUAAAAUUUGCUUUUCACUUUCUUCAACAAUUUGGAGUAUUUUACCAGUUUAAAUAUUAAAAAGCACCCAGCUUCACCCUGUAACUGUCAGAUCAGCUUCCUCCACGCGUCUUUGAAGAAACGACAUUGAUGUCCAUGAACCGUUUCUUGCUCCUCUGGUCGUUUAAAAUAAAAACAUAAAACAAC